Long non-coding RNA from Brassica oleracea var. oleracea, 1565 nucleotides. RefSeq lists it as uncharacterized. The transcript is spliced from 8 exons. The record is from RefSeq and is a predicted model, not a curated record. NCBI's taxonomy places the organism in Eukaryota, Viridiplantae, Streptophyta, Magnoliopsida, Brassicales, Brassicaceae.
CUCCGUUUCUUCUUCAUUCAAUCUCCGUUACUGAGCCUCAUCUGUUAUCAAUGUUCUUCAAUACCCUCUUAAGGAAUUCCUUCCACCUCCUCUCGAAAAAACGAAAAAGAAAAUCCCUUUCCUCGACCUUAUGCCAAGAUGAUGAGUCGUUUUAUAGUGACGACUAUCUGAUGCUCUUGGUCGGGAAAAUAUCUUCUUCAAAUCCAUUCUUCCCUAAUCCUCAAAUUAAUCUUUAUCAGAAAAAAUUGAUAGAGGAUCGUCGGUUGUGCGGCUGUGCCUACGCAGAAGGCGCGACCGACAACAAAAUUUCACGAGUUUGAGGUUGCAAAGUUGAUCACCAUCCAUAGCAUGAGUCCUUCAUUAUAUCAGGAAAUUCUUAUAGCUUGAGACUGUAUAACUUGAUUCAAUACAUAUUGCGCACAUAGUUUACGAUGUUUUGAAAUGAAGUUCGUUACUAAUUGGAUUAUCAUGAGAGCAUCUAAAUAUCCAUGUGGGAAUAAAUCCAAGGAGGGAGACGGAACAUAUGUGUGGCUUCAGACAGAACUAUGGUUCGGUUGGAGCACCGCUGCGUAAGAUACAUGAUAACUUCAGCUCAGGAAACAGAGGUGCUGCAUCUUCCGAGAAAGUUAAUAUCAGUGUUUUCCGAGUAUAUGUAUGUAAAUCUAGAUAGUCUUUCUAAAAAGCAUUGUUUAAAAAUCAGAUAUUAAUUCAUUUAACAUUUGUUUUUAUCAGCCUUUGAUAUGCUAGGGUUCCUCUUUGGCUCCCGUAAACUCUAAUGGCUUAAUUUUCUCUCUGUUUCUUUGCUUGCAAAACCAAUAAAAAGUCUGAUACAGUACCGCAUUCAUUUUGUUUUAUUGGUUUUGGAUGGACGCCGUUGAUGGUUUCUCGCUCAUGGCACCAGAACUUGCUCGAGGAAUCUUGAACCCAACCACGGAUCAGCCCCAAGGCCAUCCACCAAAAGUCCCUUAUCCUUAUCCUUUCCCAUGUCUUCCUAAAAUGAGCAUUAUCAAGAAUGCUAUUAUGCGGAUGGCGAGGAAAUGAUUGUUUAACUCCAUGUCGUGACCCUUUCCCUGUCUGUUUGGAAAGAAAAUGCACCGUAGCUUCUGAACAGGAUGUGGUCCUGAGUUCUGACCUAAGCACCAUAAACAUAACACGGUCAAAGACAUCAUAAGCCACACCAGUGUCAUACCCAUGCUCUCUCUCACCAAAUUUUCCAAUACAAGAACAACAAGACCAGAAACAUCAUCAAGAACAAUUAUGCAGAAUGAGUAGAGGAGGAGAGAGGUGGUGUACCUGGUAAGAUUGGGCUAUAUUAGGUACUGGAAUGGAGAUAAUUGGUGUGUGCUUAGAGGCCAGAAACUGUUGCCCAGCAGUUGGAGGUUGCAUAUCGUAACAAGGUCUGGUGCAGAAGAAUGUUUUAACCAUCUAGGUGUUUUGCAUGUUCAAGUGAUUUCAUGCUCUCUUUACGGGGACGAUGAUACUUGGAAAGCUUGGCUUGAUGUUGAUAACUCUAUGCUCCACAACUACUACUACUUUUACAAUCUUUGAUAGUUUUCACAAGCAAA